Molecule: ribosomal RNA, 253 nt
Filed under: uncultured bacterium
Lineage: Bacteria
Description: partial 16S ribosomal RNA
Rfam family: Bacterial small subunit ribosomal RNA
Source: RNAcentral
UACGUAGGGUGCAAGCGUUGUCCGGGAUUAUUGGGCGUAAAGAGCUCGUAGGUGGCCUGUCGCGUCGGCUGUGAAAACUCGGGGCUCAACUCCGAGCUUGCAGUCGAUACGGGCAGGCUAGAGUUCGGCAGGGGAGACUGGAAUUCCUGGUGUAGCGGUGAAAUGCGCAGAUAUCAGGAGGAACACCGGUGGCGAAGGCGGGUCUCUGGGCCGAUACUGACACUGAGGAGCGAAAGCGUGGGGAGCGAACAGG